CGGGACGUGGCGCAGCCCGGUAGCGCACCUGAAUGGGGUUCAGGGGGUCGCGGGUUCAAAUCCCGCCGUCCCGA
This 74-nucleotide transfer RNA is filed under the name Gemmatimonas sp. SG8_17. RNAcentral describes it as "tRNA-Pro". It matches the Rfam family "tRNA". Rfam says of the family: Transfer RNA (tRNA) molecules are approximately 80 nucleotides in length. Their secondary structure includes four short double-helical elements and three loops (D, anti-codon, and T loops). Further hydrogen bonds mediate the characteristic L-shaped molecular structure. tRNAs have two regions of fundamental functional importance: the anti-codon, which is responsible for specific mRNA codon recognition, and the 3' end, to which the tRNAs corresponding amino acid is attached (by aminoacyl-tRNA synthetases). tRNAs cope with the degeneracy of the genetic code in two manners: having more than one tRNA (with a specific anti-codon) for a particular amino acid; and 'wobble' base-pairing, i.e. permitting non-standard base-pairing at the 3rd anti-codon position. The record is from RNAcentral. RNAcentral also lists the same sequence under 11 other names. Lineage: Bacteria; Pseudomonadati; Gemmatimonadota; Gemmatimonadia; Gemmatimonadales; Gemmatimonadaceae.